UGAGUUGUCGCCAAGUGGUAAGGCACCGGAUUCUGAUUCCGGCAUUCGAAGGUUCGAAUCCUUCCAGCUCAGCUA
RNAcentral lists this transfer RNA (75 nucleotides) under Cellulosilyticum lentocellum DSM 5427. Its description in RNAcentral is "tRNA-Gln". It matches the Rfam family "tRNA". From Rfam's summary of the family: Transfer RNA (tRNA) molecules are approximately 80 nucleotides in length. Their secondary structure includes four short double-helical elements and three loops (D, anti-codon, and T loops). Further hydrogen bonds mediate the characteristic L-shaped molecular structure. tRNAs have two regions of fundamental functional importance: the anti-codon, which is responsible for specific mRNA codon recognition, and the 3' end, to which the tRNAs corresponding amino acid is attached (by aminoacyl-tRNA synthetases). tRNAs cope with the degeneracy of the genetic code in two manners: having more than one tRNA (with a specific anti-codon) for a particular amino acid; and 'wobble' base-pairing, i.e. permitting non-standard base-pairing at the 3rd anti-codon position. The record is from RNAcentral. Lineage: Bacteria; Bacillati; Bacillota; Clostridia; Lachnospirales; Cellulosilyticaceae.